AUUGAACGCUGGCGGCAGGCCUAACACAUGCCAGUCGAACGGUAACAGGAAGAAUCUUGCUUCUUUGCUGACGAGUGGCGGACGGGUGAGUAAUGUCUGGGAAACUGCCUGAUGGAGGGGGAUAACUACUGGAAACGGUAGCUAAUACCGCAUAACGUCGCAAGACCAAAGAGGGGGACCUUCGGGCCUCUUGCCAUCGCAUUUGCCCAGAUGGGGUUAGCUAGUAGGUGGGGUAACGGCUCACCUAGGCGACGAUCCCUAGCUGGUCUGAGAGGAUGACCAGCCACCCUGGAACUGAGACACGGUCCAGACUCCUACGGGAGGCAGCAGUGGGGAAUAUUGCACAAUGGGCGCAAGCCUGAUGCAGCCAUGCCGCGUGUAUGAAGAAGGCCUUCGGGUUGUAAAGUACUUUCAGCGGGGAGGAAGGGAGUAAAGUUAAUACCUUUGCUCAUUGACGUUACCCGCAGAAGAAGCACCGGCUAACUCCGUG
Molecule: ribosomal RNA, 490 nt
Filed under: uncultured bacterium
Lineage: Bacteria
Description: partial 16S ribosomal RNA
Rfam family: Bacterial small subunit ribosomal RNA
Source: RNAcentral